This 440-nucleotide ribosomal RNA is filed under the name uncultured bacterium. Its description in RNAcentral is "bacterial SSU rRNA". It matches the Rfam family "Bacterial small subunit ribosomal RNA", at positions 338 to 795 of the family's 1533-position model. The record is from RNAcentral.
CCUACGGGGGGCACCAGUGGGGAAUAUUGCACAAUGGGCGCAAGCCUGAUGCAGCCAUGCCGCGUGUGUGAAGAAGGUCUCCGGAUUGUAAAGCACUUUCGACGGGGACGAUGAUGACGGUACCCGUAGAAGAAGCCCCGGCUAACUUCGUGCCAGCAGCCGCGGUAAUACGAAGGGGGCUAGCGUUGUUCGGAAUUACUGGGCGUAAAGCGCGCGUAGGCGGAUAGAUAAGUCAGAGGUGAAAUCCCGGGGCUCAACCCCGGAAUUGCCUUUGAUACUGUUUAUCUUGAGUGCAGAAGAGGUAAGUGGAAUUCCGAGUGUAGAGGUGAAAUUCGUAGAUAUUCGGAGGAACACCAGUGGCGAAGGCGGCUUACUGGUCUGCAACUGACGCUGAGGCGCGAAAGCGUGGGGAGCAAACAGGAUUAGAUACCCUCGUAGUC